This 1686-nucleotide ribosomal RNA is filed under the name Toia sp. TJ-2014. RNAcentral describes it as "eukaryotic LSU rRNA". It matches the Rfam family "Eukaryotic large subunit ribosomal RNA", at positions 24 to 1509 of the family's 3401-position model. Lineage: Eukaryota; Metazoa; Platyhelminthes; Rhabdocoela; Nannorhynchididae. The record is from RNAcentral.
UAGGUCGACCGCUGAACUUAAGCAUAUCAAUAAGCGGAGGAAAAGAAACUAACAAGGAUUCUCUUAGUACCGGCGAGGGAACAGAGAAGAGCCCAAAUUCGAUGCCUGUGCCAUAUGGUACUAGGCGAUGAGAAUUUUGGUGGUUCGGCAAUACGCUUUCGUCAUGUUCUAAGUCCGCGUGAUUGCGGCUCUAAUACCAGAGAAGGUGUAAGUCCUGUAAGAGCAUGAUGAUUAACGUCGCUGAAUCACUUAGAGUCGGAUUGUUUGGGAUCGCAAUCCAAAGUGGGUGGUACACUCCAUCUAAGGCUAAAUAUAACACGAAUCCGAUAGCGAACAAGUACCAUGAGGGAAAGUUGAAAAGAACUUUGAAGAGAGAGUUCAAUAGUGCGUGAAACUGCGUAGAAGUAACCGGAUGGAGCCCAAUGUCGGUGCGUAUAGUGUUGGUCUCGACGCUGCAGCCGUAUUUUGAUAACCGCAAGGUGUCAUGGUAUUGUGUGGUCAGUGUUGAAAUUGAUUUUAUGCGUACUUACAUCAUGAACAGCGCAGAACUAGUCUGUCGUACAUUGGAAGGUAGCUAGCGCUUCGGUGUUAGUGUUAUAGCCAGGUGCAUGGACAUUGUUUCGUACUGGGUAAAUUCUGUUAGCCAUUACCGGCGCACACGUUGGUUGUGUGUUGUUGACAUUGGAUUGAGGCUCUAAGAGAAUCUGUUCUUUGUUGAUGGCGCAUGGUCAGCCUCUGUGUUAUAACGGAUGUCAUGAUGCUAAUGUAGGUAGUCCAUCCGACCCGUCUUGAAACACGGACCAAGGAGUUUAGCAUGUGCGCGAGUCAUGGGGCUCUACGAAACCCAAAGGCGCAGUGAAAGUAUAGACUCACUUUCGUGAGUUGAGGGAGGAUGCUGUUAGAUAUCCGUUAUAGGAGUCUGCGGUCGCACUCCCGACUCGUACCGAUGCUUGCAUUGGUGCGAAGUAAGAGCGUGCAUGCUGAGACCCGAAAGAUGGUGAUCUAUACUUGUGUAGGUUGAAGCCAGGGGAAACCCUGGUGGAGGACCGCAGCGGUUCUGACGUGCAAAUCGAUCGUCAAACAUGAGUAUAGGGGCGAAAGACUAAUCGAACCAUCUAGUAGCUGGUUCCCUCCGAAGUUUCCCUCAGGAUAGCUGUCGCUCAGGAAUCAAUCGGUUUUAUCCGGUAAAGCGAAUGACUAGAAGUAACGGGGUCUAAAUGACCUCGACUUAUUCUCAAACUUUAAAUGGGUGAGAAGCUGAACUCUCUUAAUUGGAGUCUGGCAUCGAACGAGAGUGACUAGUGGGCCAUUUUUGGUAAGCAGAACUGGCGAUGUGGGAUGAACCAAACGCGCGGUUAAGGUGCCAAAGUAAAUGCUCAUCAGAAACCACAAAAGGUGUUAGUUGAUUUUGACAGCAGGACGGUGGCCAUGGAAGUCGGAAUCCGCUAAGGAGUGUGUAACAACUCACCUGCCGAAUCAACUAGCCCUGAAAAUGGAUGGCGCUCGAGCAUUUCACCUAUACCGUGCCAGCACGGCAAGUAAAGCAGGCCAUGUUGUGUAGGAGGGCGAUCUGGUAAGCAUUGAAGUCGCAGUCGUGAGACUGGAUUGAGCUGCCAGUUGUGCAGAUCUUGGUGGUAGUAGCAAAUAUUCAAGUGAGAACCUUGAAGACUGAAGUGAGAAGGGUUC